GACAGAGGGACAGCGACAGAGGGACAGAGGGACAGCGGGGACAGCCAUGGGACCGACAGCGCCGCUCCCGGCGCUCGCCGUUGUCACCGCUCUGCUGGCGGCCACCGCCGCGGCGCCAGGUGCCGCGGCUCCCCUGGAGGUGGCGCUGGCGGCGGAGGGACCGAGCCCGGACCCCCCCGGUCCCGCCCGGCUGGAGGCGUCGGGAGAGAGUGA
Molecule: long non-coding RNA, 213 nt
Organism: Melospiza melodia melodia
Lineage: Eukaryota; Metazoa; Chordata; Aves; Passeriformes; Passerellidae
Exons: 4
Source: RefSeq, a predicted model, not a curated record